AAUAACUUAAACACUAGUCACCAAAAACCAAAAAAAUAUACACUAACUAAAACAAUGAAACCCUAAAAGUCAGGCUUCAUCUCCUCGCCUCUCGAACCCUAAGGCGCCGUCAGCUUCACUUCGCGAUCGAACCCAGCCCUGGUCGCCUCUCUCUCUGGCGGUGCUGCUCGCCGCUGUCUGUCGCGGUGCUGGUCGCCCUAUCGCGGUUCUGCUCAACCUCAUCUUCUCGAACCCAGCCCUGGUCGUGGUGCUCCUCGCCUCUCUGUCGCGGUUCUGCUCACCUCUCAUCUUCUCAUCUUCUUGAAGCUUUCUGGUGGAGUUGCCCCUACUGCAUAAAGAUCUUUUUGCAUCUGGAUUACGCAAGAGAUCCAGCGUUCUCCCGUAUGAUCCUCUUGGAACUGGCAGAACAUUAUUAGCAAAUGUUGUUGCUACUGAAUUUGUUAACUUGAUAUUGGGAUAAUAACAAGUUCAAAUGGAAGCAUGCUUGGUCAGAUGUGAGCAGCAGUAAUAUAACUAAAGAUCUUGUUACAACUUUGAAAAAAAGAAAUAUCCUCCUUGUUACAAGGACAUAAGUUUCUGGAUCAAUGAAUCAUUUACUGAAAACAAGCUGUGUGAACUUGUUAGAGGAAUUGCUGGGGAUCUUGUAGAAGAGGCUUUUAAUAGUUGUGUUUUCGCUGCUGUUGCUGCUCCCACCUGUCUUGGUUUGCUUCUGCUGUGGUACUGCUAUUGCUGCUAGGGUACGGAUUUAGUUUCUGCAGUGCUAGUUGACUGCUAGGGUUUAGGGGCAGUGAUAAAAACAAUGGAGUUCAUAAUGGAUGAUCACACUACUCAUGAAAUUUGAUAUUUUGUAACUAAAUAUAUAAAAGAAGUAGAUAUGUGACACUUGUUGGAAUUGUAAUUCUUAUUUACUUGUUAUGAUUUUACACUUUUUGGUACUUUGUAAUCAAAGCCUACUUUUGUGGUGACAAUUUUAUAUGUAUGUCUUUUUUAAUGGAAAAGUUUAUAUUUCUUGGAUUAA
Arachis duranensis is the source of this 1018-nucleotide long non-coding RNA. RefSeq lists it as uncharacterized. Lineage: Eukaryota; Viridiplantae; Streptophyta; Magnoliopsida; Fabales; Fabaceae. The record is from RefSeq and is a predicted model, not a curated record. The transcript has 6 exons.